RNAcentral lists this small RNA (477 nucleotides) under Pongo abelii (Sumatran orangutan). RNAcentral's name for it is "retained intron". The record is from RNAcentral. Lineage: Eukaryota; Metazoa; Chordata; Mammalia; Primates; Hominidae.
AGGAAAUGGCCUUGUUUAAAGAAGUUAAGUCUCUCCAAAUUAUUCCAUCCUACCUGGUGCAGCCAUUGAAAGCAAACUCUUCAGUUCACCUGGCAAUGAGUCAGAUGGGCCUCCUGGCCCGGCUGCUGAAAGACCUGGGCACUGGCAGCUCGGGCUUCACCAUUGACAACGUGAUGAAGUUUUCAGUGAGUGCCCUGGAGCAUAGAGUGUAUGAGGUCCGUGAGACGGCGGUUAGAAUUAUUUUGGACAUGUACAGACAACACCAGGCUUCCAUCCUGGAGUACCUUCCUCCAGACGACAGCAACACACGCAAGAACAUUCUCUACAAAACAAUUUUUGAGGGAUUUGCUAAAAUAGAUGGCAGACCUACAGAUGCUGAGAUGAGGGUAAGUUCACUUUGGUAAAGUUAUGACCUCAUCCUGUAUUGAAGAAGUUACUCGGUACAUAAAUAAGUAAACACGUAAUUUGAAGGAGUCA